GUGUCAGCCGCCGCGGUAAUACGAAGGGGGCUAGCGUUGUUCGGAAUUACUGGGCGUAAAGGGCGCGUAGGCGGUACUUCAAGUCAGGCGUGAAAGCCCCGGGCUCAACCUGGGAACCGCGCUUGAGACUGGAGAACUAGAGUUCGGGAGAGGAUGGUGGAAUUCCCAGUGUAGAGGUGAAAUUCGUAGAUAUUGGGAAGAACACCGAUGGCGAAGGCAGCCAUCUGGACCGACACUGACGCUGAGGCGCGAAAGCGUGGGGAGCAAACAGGAUUAGAUACCCCGGUAGUCC
RNAcentral lists this ribosomal RNA (292 nucleotides) under uncultured bacterium. Its description in RNAcentral is "partial 16S ribosomal RNA". It matches the Rfam family "Bacterial small subunit ribosomal RNA", at positions 505 to 796 of the family's 1533-position model. The record is from RNAcentral.